RNAcentral lists this ribosomal RNA (407 nucleotides) under uncultured bacterium. Its description in RNAcentral is "partial 16S ribosomal RNA". It matches the Rfam family "Bacterial small subunit ribosomal RNA", at positions 28 to 526 of the family's 1533-position model. The record is from RNAcentral.
GACGAACGCUGGCGGCGUGCCUAAUACAUGCAAGUCGAGCGAGCGGCGGACGGGUGAGUAACACGUAAGGAACCUACCGAUAAGCGGGGGACAACAUCCGGAAACGGGUGCUAAUACCGCAUACUUAUCAAUGGCCUUACGGUGCAUUAGCUCGUGGGUGGGGUAACGGCCUACCACGGCAAUGAUGCAUAGCCGACCUGAGAGGGUAAUCGGCCCCACUGGGACUGAGACACGGCCCAGACUCCUACGGGAGGCAGCAGUAGGGAAUCUUCCGCAAUGGGCGCAAGCCUGACGGAGCAACGCCGCGUGAGUGAAGAAGGUUUUCGGAUCGUAAAGCUCUGUUGUUAGAGAAGCGGUAUCUUACCAGAAAGCCACGGCUAACUACGUGCCAGCAGCCGCGGUAAUUC